RNAcentral lists this long non-coding RNA (664 nucleotides) under Calidris pugnax (ruff). Its description in RNAcentral is "lncRNA (ENSCPUG00000013037.1)". Lineage: Eukaryota; Metazoa; Chordata; Aves; Charadriiformes; Scolopacidae. The record is from RNAcentral.
UUAAUUCUGAAUUAUUGCUUUCAGUUUGUUAGACUGCUCUGAGCUCUUCAUGCAGAUCUCAUUAGACUCCUUUCUGACAGGCAUAGCAGCUCCAGUUUUCAUCUAACUUUGGAGAUACCAGAAACGUUUGGACUAAAACGAUAAUUAGAGGGAAUAGGCUCCAUGAUUGGUAAUGUAUCACAGAACUCAUCCAAGGCACCUCACUGGAAUCUAUGCAGAAUGAACUAACACUGCUACAAUAGAGGUCUACCACAAUGACUCUGGUCUGAAAGGUGAUGACAGGCUGUUUGUGGAUUCCUGCCUGCUGCCGCUGAACUCCUCACCUGCCCAACACAAGGACAUUCCCUUAAGACUCUUUCCAGCACAGUCUGGAAAGCCUGAUCAUCAUUUAGGUUUGCAUGUUCUCUGCCAAAUGAUGCAUAUACUAUGUGUACGGAGAAGUGUACUGGAAUGUGUAAUACAAGCAGAAGAUCUAUACCAAAAGGCAGGCUGUCUUUAUCUGCUUGGUGUUUGCCACCGGUCAGAAGAGAAGAAAAGCUGUGCUGCUGUUCUGUUGGACCAUGGAAAGGGCACAGCUAGCACGUGGGCAAUGAGGCUCUGCCCUGUCCAUGCAGCAGGCAACAAAAAUGGUCACUAUUCCCAGCUUUUAUUCUUCAAAUUCUAA